This 68-nucleotide transfer RNA is filed under the name uncultured Anaeroplasma sp. It matches the Rfam family "tRNA". Rfam says of the family: Transfer RNA (tRNA) molecules are approximately 80 nucleotides in length. Lineage: Bacteria; Bacillati; Mycoplasmatota; Mollicutes; Anaeroplasmatales; Anaeroplasmataceae. The record is from RNAcentral.
CAGGUGUAGUUUAAUGGUAGAACCUUAGCCUUCCAAGCUAAUGACGUGGGUUCGAUUCCCAUCACCUG